ACUUUCAUUUUUACAUCUGCCACACAGAAAAGGGGAGGGGGGCAUUGUAAAGGGAGUAGCCUCUGGUCCUUUCCACUUGGGGAUGGAAAGUUGGGGUUUUCGUUUUGAUUUAGUUCUAGGAAGUCAGUGUGAAUCGUAAAUCAGCCUCAGGUUCGCCGCCUCCAGACCCUAUUCUCCUGCCUCACAGAGAGGGCAACUCCCAGGCUGAGCAGCUGCCAGAGCUCAGCAGUGGGUGGCUGAUCAUGCUCAGCCUCCGGGAGAAGAAAGAGUACACCUAGAAGAGGGGAGGAGAAAGCUUUUCUCCUCCCUGAGAUGGGGAAGAGUGGGGCUGGGCGGGGUCUCAGCUCCCGACAAGGCUGUGAGGCCAUCCUGGGCACGUGGCCCUGGACUGUCCCAGGGGAAGCCCCUCUCCACUUCCCCCAAUCCCUUCCCAAGCCAAGCCCAGCAGCCAGGAGCCAUUAGGGGUUAGAGGAAGACUGCAGAAAAGGCCAAAGGUGCAUCUGGUAGUUUGCCUUGCGAGCCCACACGGGUGGGUGAAGAAAUUCACUGGGUACUGUGCUGAGGGCAAAAAGUCAGGAGUUUUUAAGUUCUAGGAAAGCGGAGUUUAUGUUGGUUGUGCCCUCUAAACAGUAAAGGGUCCUCUGGAUAUGUAGGGCCGAGUCCACGGCUCUGCUCACACUUGGAUACUCAGUCUCAUUCCUCCCUGGCCAGCAGGAGCUUUCUGUUGGGUCCAGUUAGGGUCUGAGGCGCCUGGGUCCCACAAACUAGAUGGCCAUAGGGACGUCCGGAUUCAACCUGCUCCAAUUCAGCAGCUGCGGCGAAAAUAACAUCCAGUCGUGUUUUCUCCCAGGUUCUACUCUGAGUGGGCCCCACUCGCCAAGUACACACUGAAGCCUCACCAUUGUGCUCCCGUCAAAGCCCUGGUUUCCUCCAUGGGAGCUGGCCCUUCAGGACCUCUCAGCUGUGCUCCUGUGGGGUCUGGCAGCUCUCUGAAAAUCGCCGGGAAAGUUGGGAUUGCCCCGCAGCGUGGGGGUGAUGCCGCUGCAGCGCAGGCUGGGACAGAGAGCAGCCCGGAUGCGCGGAGCAGACUUGGACUUCAGAGCACCUUCGCUGAAGCCGAGUGCUGCUGUGCCAGGUUUGUGGCGGUCAUGGUGGAAAGUGGAUGAAGCUGACUUGCAGCCAAGGCUUCGCCUCCAGCACCAUGGCCCUAGAUGUGGUGGCCUCACCUUAUUGACUGAGUUGCUUUCCCUGAUCUAUGAAGAUACAUAGUGAGCCAGUGAGAGCUUAAAAAAACUGUGAGCCAAUUUUGCAAGCACCUCUGGCAAGAUGUCGUGGUGGUCUAGAGGGGCUGUCACACAAUGCAGCUGGAGGAAGGUGAGGGUAUACCUCGGCCGUCCUCAUCGUCCCUCCUUCUUUCUUGUCCUGGUGCCCAGGGAUUGCUGUAGUAACAGUACAGGUCCCUCUGGAAUCCCGGGGGAACCGAAUAUUGGUAAACGAAGAGGUGAUGUGGCUGGUGGAGAAGAGGAUAUGGAGAUGGCAUAACACAAGCCCCAUGGACCCCCAGCUCCAGGCUGAGCCUGUGUGGACCACAGCACUGUGAUCCAGGUGUCCUCCUGCCUCCUGCCAUCUUUUGGAUUGUUUGGAAGCUCAAUUCAAAUUAUUCACGAAAACUCAAAUAUUUGUUUCCUAUUAAAAAAAAAAGUCUUCUUUUUAAAACAAACUCUGAGAUUGACCAAGGCACACAGAUGCCCUGGAGCUUCCUCCCCAACUCCACUGGGCUAUUCUCUCCCUUGCAGUUCAGCUGCUGCUUCCUUCCAUGCCAAAGAGCAUCCCCAUCUCCAACUCGUCCUUUCUCCUUUGUGCAUUAAAACAACUUGAGAUCCUCAGAAUGGACUGCUCCCCAAACUAAAACAAAAAAAUGCAAGCAUAAUAAAAUGCAUAGAAAGGCAUGGAAUCAAACUUGAAAUAUGCAAGGUUUGGGCAUUCCAUUAUUUAUGAGCAUGAAGGCCUUUCACAAAUCAAAAUCUCUUUUAAAUUGAAAGUGCCUUUCUUCCUCUCCCCCUCCUUCCCUCCUUUCCUCCCACCCUCAAUCCCUUCCCUUCUUUCUCUCCCUUUUUUUCUCACCUUCUCAACUUCUAUCUUUCUUAAGAUAAGAGGUUCGUGUGAUGCUCCUAUUUAUGUGGCUUUCUUUAAAAAUGAGAAGAGGAGGAGCCAGGCUACACCAAGGAAAUACUCAACCCCAUGCUUCUGCAGGUGUCAACCUAGAAGGCACCAAUCCAGGUGGAAGAGGUUCUCUCUCCUGCCCUACUGUCUUUGCCAGGGGUGGUGU
This 2329-nucleotide long non-coding RNA is filed under the name Homo sapiens (human). Its description in RNAcentral is "long non-coding RNA NONHSAT178076.1". The record is from RNAcentral. Lineage: Eukaryota; Metazoa; Chordata; Mammalia; Primates; Hominidae.